Molecule: long non-coding RNA, 432 nt
Organism: Nerophis ophidion (straightnose pipefish)
Lineage: Eukaryota; Metazoa; Chordata; Actinopteri; Syngnathiformes; Syngnathidae
Exons: 4
Source: RefSeq, a predicted model, not a curated record
CGCUGCUUGAUGGCAGCGUGAACUAAAAGCCAAGCUUGUGCGCAUGCGUGCUGAAGUACUUCCUUUCCAGUCCAGCAAGCAAGACUAAGAGCGAAGAUUUGAAUUGGAAAUCGAACUAUUUCACUGCAAAGAAAACCAUCGACGUCCAUAAAGAUUCAGAAAUUGGAGACAGUGGAGGAACUACUCGACCUUGACGAGUUGAUAAAAACUUAACCAAGCAAGAAAGAUUUGCUGACAGCCAGGCUCUCAAAGGUUGGUGGAUAUGACUUAAAGAGCUGUUUAAGCACCAUCAUGGACAGCUAGUGUCUUGGAUACACAGAAGGGGACCGAAACGAUGGUCCAUGAUGCCAUAAAAAAUAAACUGAAAUAUGCCCCUGGACGGAAGGGAGGAAUAGGAUGGGCAUCACAGGCUAAAUAAAUAAUUAUAUCGAU